This is a long non-coding RNA of Mustela lutreola (European mink), 3258 nucleotides long. RefSeq lists it as uncharacterized. NCBI's taxonomy places the organism in Eukaryota, Metazoa, Chordata, Mammalia, Carnivora, Mustelidae. The record is from RefSeq and is a predicted model, not a curated record. The transcript has 2 exons.
ACAGGCAGACAGAAUGGCAGGCAGAGGCAGAGGGAGAAGCAGGCUCCCCGCUGAGCAAGGAGCCUGAUGUGGGACUCAAUCCCAGGACGCUGGGAUCAUGACCUGAGCCGAAGGCAGCUGCUUAACCAACUGAGCCACCCAGGCGUCCCUUAUUUAUUUAUUUGAGAGACAAUGUGAGAGAGGGAAGGGGGCAGAGGGAGAGGAAGAGGGGAUCCUCAAGCAGACUCCCUGCUGAGCAUGAAAUCUGACCCGGGGCUCCAUCCCAGGACCCUGAGAUCAUGACCUGAGCCUAAAUCAAGAGUUGGAUGCUUAACUGACUGAGCCACCCAGGCACCCCUUCAUCGCUUUUUUAUAUUCUAGCUUUGUGCCUCUGUGGGUUUUCUUAAAAAUUACUGUUUUUUGUUUUGUUUUGUUUUGCUUUUUGUAAUUAAGGACAACACUACCUUUUAAGAUCUGGAGAUAAUCACUUAACAUAAGGGAAUCCUCUAUUCUUUAUUUGACUGAUUAAUGUCAUAUCAUGGCUCAUGGAUACUUUACAAUUACUGGAAUAUCAUGUUUUUUGGAAACUAAGAUGUCACCAUGGAGGAGGACAUGUACUUAAAAGAACUGUAGACUUGAGAUCUCAAACAGACCAUAGGUUAAGGAACUAAUGCAAGAGUGUUGAAAUGGCUUUUUCCUUGGUAGCCCAUCAGGUUACCACAGAGCUGAAAAUGGCUCCCCUGUCUGCUGACCUUUGCAUUCAUUUCUUUUCCUGAGAAAUUACACAAAUGUGUGUUUUGUUUUAAAAACAGUUAAGCAGAUGUACGUUUUAAAAAGUGAAUUGGGGCCAUAUUCUUUCAGUAAGUGCCUAAACUCAAACCCAAUCUUGAAUAAUUACUCCCUGAUUUAGGUCAAACUUGAUGACACAUGUUAAAAAAACUUGUCCCCUGCAUAUUGAACAUGCAAGAGAAACCCUCCAUUUAAUUAUUUCACUGUACUUUGUUAAAUGCAGUGAAAGAGCCUGUGUAACUUGAAAGUUGACUUCAAGCAGAGUAAUUUUAAUAAGUUAUGUGAAUUGUUGACUUGUAAACUGUGUAUGGGUGUGAAUAUUUAUUUAUGUAUUUUUUUAUUUUUAAAGAUUUUAUUUAUCAGAGAGAGAGAGUACAAGUGGAGGAGAGGGGGAAAAGGAGAGGAAGAAGGAGAAGCAAACUCCUUAAUGAGCAGGGAUCCUGAUGUGGGGCUCCAUCCCAGGACCCUGGGACCAUGAUCUGAGCCGAAGGCAGCUGCUUAACUGACAGAGCCACCCAGGCGACCUGAGUCUUUUAUUUUGAUAAAAAUGUAACUCGGUAAAUUAUAUCACCAGCUGGGUCUAAUAGCAUGCUAAAACUGAACUUUUUCUAAUGUAGUUCUGGAAAAAAUGGAAAAUAUGACAUUGCAUUUUGACAUCUCUCUUGAAAAUAAGAGCCCUUCCAAAGGUUCUUUAAGGACAUUGAUAGUAUUUAUAAUCAAAAGAGUGGGGUGUUUAUCUCUUAUACUUUGUUUCUGAAAGUUUUUACUCUUUAUUGUCUACUUUAUUGUUUGGGGAGCAUUGGUAAUGAUCACCAGAGAAUUGCUGAGGACUCCAUUAUGUGUGUGAGGCUGUCCAGAGGAUAGUCUCUAGUGUAGUCUUAAACUGUACUUAAUGCCUUAUAGAUUACAAGAUCCUUUAGAUUCUUUUUUGCAUUCUAAGAUAGGCUACAUUGUACUUCUUAUCUAUAGGAAGUAGUGUUAUAGGAUGUUCAAGAGUACUAAUAUCUCCUGUAAACUUUAGAGAAAGUUAAUGUGACUGAUUUUUUUGGCCAGAUAACAGGAGAGUAAAUAGGUUAGCUUGAACUACCCGACCCUAUGUGGAGGGGUAGAUAUGUAGAGGAGUAGAUACAGAAGGAAGCGUCUAAGAUCUGAGGGCAUUGUGUUACCUCAUUGAAUUCUCACCCAAAUCCUAUGAGAGGCAGUGUUAUCCCAGUUUUAUAGAUGAGAACAUUGAGGGUGAGGUAGGUUCAUUUCUUCUUAAGUGUCAUAAACUGUUUUAAUGCUAGAGAUACAAUGAUGGACAAGACACAGGUUUUGGCCGUGAGAUUUAAGUCUAGGUCUGGUGGGUUGUCAGUGUGGGGCCUCCCUCCAUUUUGUCUUCUCCUCAGUCAUGUUUCUUUUUCAAGCAUCUACUGCAGUUUUCUUCUAAGAGAUCUAUCUCACUGUCUUUCUAACUAGAUUUCUUAACUCUCUUUCUCUACCCUCUCCUCCAGGUAUUAGAUAAUAAGGGUCUAAGGUAUUGCUUCCUUAGGAUCUUUGUAAUUUAGAUAAGGAUUCUAGAAAAUCCCACACAUUAUCGAGCAUUGCUUCUAUAGCACUUUUAUAACAUUGUCUGGUGUACUCCACAACAACUCUUCAGGCAAAAUACUACACCUAUGGUACAGAUGAGAAAAGGAAAACCUGGUAAGGGUAAAUAACUGGAAUCAUUCAGAAAAUUGAAAUUCUUCAGACACUCACCUAUUGACCAGAAAAUACCUGUUGAACUACUGUUUGUAACAUGCUGUGCUGGGAAAGAGAGAUGCCCCUGAGGUGGUCCAAAGAGGUCACAGUUUGGCUAGGAGACACCAACAAGCAAGACCGUAAGGGGUUGUGCCCUCCCGCCUUGGGAGCAUUUAGACCUACUGAAGAGAACUGGGGAAAGGGGAAGGCUUUAUAAGGGGGGCCUCACUUAAGCUGAAAUAUGAGGAAAUAUAAUGUGUGGGGGACUGGAAAGGUGUAGUUCCCAUUCUAGACAGCACCAGCAUCUGACAUGAUAGUCUGAGGGAGGAAGAUGUCUUUGAGAAAUGGCCAGUAGUUUGUCAUAAUGGAGUAUGGGCAAGAAUAGCCAGAGAUUAAGCUGGACAGUAGUAGUGAUACCAGUAAUAAUUAAUAUUAUGUAUACCACGUGUUAUGCACUUUGCAUAGGUAAUCUCAAUUCAUGCGACACCCUGUGGGUAGGUACUCUUACUAUUCUCCUUUUAUAGAUAGUGAAACUGAGUUAUCUCAGAUUGGUUGAUUUGCCCAGGAUCACGGCUGGUAAGUGACACUCAGUUAGUAAAUGACUUGCUCAGGAUCACACAGCUGCUACUGGCAUACUUGGCAAGUAAACCCAAGGGGUCUGGCUCCAGCGACUGUCUCUUAGCUACUGUGCUGUGGUGAGGGAAUCACACUGUGAAGGGACUUGUGAAGGAGUUGGGAUUUUAUUAUGUAGGUCAGUGUUUUUUUUUUUUU